CGGGGGGCAACCCUGGUGGCGAGUGGCGAACGGGUGAGUAAUGCAUCGGAACGUGCCCAUCGAUGGGGGAUAACUGCGCGAAAGCGUUGCUAAUACCGCAUACGACCUACGGGUGAAAGCAGGGGACCGCAAGGCCUUGCGUCGAUGGAGCGGCCGAUGCCGGAUUAGCUAGUUGGUGAGGUAAAGGCUCACCAAGGCGACGAUCCGUAGCUGGUCUGAGAGGACGACCCAGCCACACUGGGACUGAGACACGGCCCAGACUCCUACGGGAGGCAGCAGUGGGGAAUCUUGGACAAUGGGCGAAAGCCUGAUCCAGCAAUGCCGCGUGUGGGAAGAAGGCCUUCGGGUUGUAAACCACUUUUGGCGGGAAAGAAAUGGUCUGUGCUAAUACCACGGAUUGAUGACGGUACCCGCAGAAUAAGCACCGGCUAACUACGUG
RNAcentral lists this ribosomal RNA (439 nucleotides) under uncultured bacterium. Its description in RNAcentral is "bacterial SSU rRNA". It matches the Rfam family "Bacterial small subunit ribosomal RNA", at positions 73 to 507 of the family's 1533-position model. The record is from RNAcentral.